This 23-nucleotide unclassified non-coding RNA is filed under the name Arabidopsis thaliana (thale cress). The record is from RNAcentral. Lineage: Eukaryota; Viridiplantae; Streptophyta; Magnoliopsida; Brassicales; Brassicaceae.
UUCAAUCGAUACCAGCCACACCA